This is a long non-coding RNA of Sinocyclocheilus anshuiensis, 3049 nucleotides long. Lineage: Eukaryota; Metazoa; Chordata; Actinopteri; Cypriniformes; Cyprinidae. The record is from Ensembl.
CAGAGACAGAAGCCCUGUUAGAGACCAGCCCCCUUCCAAGAUCUUUGUACAGUAUCAUGAGAUAGAGGAAGAGUCCCAAACCCAAAAAGCCUCCUUCCAGCCUAUCUCUCCAUCAGGAGCCUCUGGCCAAACAGAACCUCAGCCUGCAGUCAGGGCCAAAGUCCCAAAAUAUUCUCAAAUACCGUCAGAGGUAUCUUCUCAAGUUGUAGACCUGAAGACCCAGCCUUGUAGUCAGACUGUGCCUAUGAUUGUUGUACAAGACUAUGAAGCAGAGAAAAGUAGUCCAGAAUCACAAAUGCACCCCUGUAUGCAAGUGAAAGACUCUCAGUCCAUUAAAGUUAAGUCACAGAAAGUCCAUGCUCAAACAAAAAUUGACAUAGAGCAUCGUGUAGAAAGCCAGGUAUCUUUACCACAACCUGUGACACAACAACAGACAGAAAACCAGGGGCAGGUGCAAGGUCCAGUAGCUAGCCAACCCUCACAGAACCUACAACAAGCAGAAUCACAAGUACAUAAUGAACAACAAUUAGCAACACAGCCAUAUGUGCACAUACAGCAACAAGAGAAAACUCAGCUUGCAAAACAGCAGAAGGUUCAACCACAAGUACCAAUCCAGUCACAGCCUCAGGGCCAACUAGAAACACAAGCACAGCAAGCUCCAAAGCAGCAGAGGAAAGUAAAGAAGUCCCAGGCACAUCUGCAGAACAGACCUUGGCUUCAGCAGAAGAGUCAAUUGGAAAAUGUUACCCAAAAAUCAGCACCACAGUUGGUGCCGCAAUCUCAGUCAGAGCCUCAGGACAAAUGCCAAUUAAGUUCUCAAACACCACCACAGCAUAUAGUGACUGUUAGCUCACCUAGCUCAAAAAGCAUUGUUGAGAGUGAUGAGAAAGACCUGAAGCCAGCUCAGCCUGUUGCACAAGAGAAACCUCUUGUAGUAACACGAAAACUACCUCAAACUUUGCCAGCAGUUCCAGCACAAUCAACGACUCAAAAACAAACACAACAGACAGUGACUGUUCCGAUUCAUAAACAAGUAUUAACCCAACCUCAGCCCUCUUUAUCAACUCAAGCUCAAACAACUACACAACAACUACAAGCUACUGCACCCAUUAAGCAACAAAAGCAACCUCAGAUAGUGACACCACAGCAACCUCAAGUGAUGAUCCAGAAACAGGCACAAUCUCAAUCCAUGACACCCAUGCAACCACAGGUUAUGGCCCAAUGGCAGCCACAACAGACUAUUGCUCAAACUCAUCCUGCAGUGCCACAACCACAAAGAUUUUCAGUGGCCCAAACAAUGCCUCAAGGCACUUCCGGACCAGCCCAACAGUACCAAGCAUCACCCAUUCAACCACAAAUAAUGUUGCAGAGACAACAGUCACCACAUUGUGUAGUGCAGGCUCAGUCCCAGCAACCCACAAUGCACAAUCCGACUGUAAUUUCCCCUCAACCUAAAGGUGCAUCCACCAUACAACCCAGAAUCAUCUCUAUGCCUCGACCCCAGAUGCCUGUUCAAUCUCAAACCCAAACUCAGGUCAAAGCACAGGGAAGUGCACCACUUAUGAUUCAACCUCAGGGGCAACCCCAGUGGUAUCAACCAGGAGACGUCACCCAAACAUACCCCAAAGUCCAAGGACCAAUUUCUCUUGCUGCCCAGAUGCAGCCACUGGCCCAUUUCCAAACUCAUCCCCAACCUCAAAGUAUCCCUCCAGCUCAACCUCAGCAGUGGUCACCAAUAAGACCAGGCAUAGUGGCCCAGACCUACCCCACUGUCCAAGUUCCAGGUCAGGUAGUCCACCCUCAAUCUCAAAUGGCAGUUUACCCUAAAAACCAACCGCAAUCACAGCCUCAGCAGUGGCCCUCUGCUAGACCUGAAUCACCUUGGUGUCAAUCACAGAUGAGACCCCAAGGUCCAGCUCAGCAUAUGGUUUCCUCACAGCACUGGAGGCCUGUCAGUCCAGUAUACCCCGGGUCUGAAACCCAAGGGCCCAUAGGACCACAUUCUCAGUCCCAAUAUCAAGCCCCACCAAGGCAACCAAGCCCUCAAUGGCAGUGGGGUCCAGUCCGGCCAGAACAUCAGUUUCAAGUCUCUUCCCAGACUACGUUCCAUGGUGGUCCCCAGCCAGUAGCUCCAUGGAAUCAACCACCUGCUCAAGCUCCUAUAAGACCUCAGAUUCCACAACAGCCUCAGCAAAGUCAGCAAAAGUGGAGUUCAUCCAGGCCAGAGGCCCCAUCUGAAACCCUUAUCCAAAGCCAAGCUCCCCAGGCAGAGCUUCAGUCCCAAGAUCUGAUACCCCAACAGCAGUCAGCUCUUGCCCAGGCACCCCCUCAAGCCUACACUGAGGCUUAUAUAAAGGCACAGGCCCUGGUUAGAAAUAGAUUUGAGGAAGCCAAGCACUGUCUUCAAGAGCAUAUUAUAGAAGCUAUCAGUGUAUUCAAGGAAAAGCAAAUGACGAACGAACAGGCAUCAGUUAAGGAGGAGACGCUUCGGACUCUGGACCCUGAACUUCUUGAAGAGUUCUUGAGGGCUGCAGAAGGGAUGGAAGCUUUCUGCACCCCAUCUGAAAUAAGAGACAUGGAGUUUUUUACACAAUCCGUUAGAACACAGUGGAAGGCUUGUUUGUCUGAGGAGGACAGUCUGGCAGAGGCAGGACAGCAGCUAGAAGCUCUGAAGGAGUUGUGUGAUACUUUGAGCCCUGAGGACGCACACAGGCUUGCACAAGCCCAACUCGGAGAAUGUGAGAGACGGCUUGCUGCCAUCCAGUGGCAGUUCAGUGGAGACAGAGAUACAUCUCCUCCAGACACUGGUUUACAAACAGAGCAAACAAAAGAGCCACUCACUCAGAAAGCACCAACAGUCCCACCCCCACCUGAGAAGCCCAAACAGGUUAUUGUUUCAGAGGCUGUUACACCUGUUAGCCCCCAGCAACCGAGAUCUGUGGAGAAGAGAGAGAUAGUGAAACAAACGAGUACAGAAGACGACAGGUAUGGAUAUAAAAAGAGAAUAUCUAUGUGUUUCUGUAAAUGAUUGCAUGUGAUAUUGUUUCAG